UGAGCAAUCUGCCCUUCUCUUCGGAAUAAGCGUUGGAAACGACGUCUAAUGCCGAAUACGACCUCCUUUCGCAUGAUCGGAGGUGGAAAGCUCCGGCGGAGAAGGAUGAGCUCGCGGCCUAUCAGCUAGUUGGUGUGGGGUAAUGGCCCACCAAGGCGACGACGGGUAGCCGGCCUGAGAGGGUGACCGGCCACACUGGGACUGAGACACGGCCCAGACUCCUACGGGAGGNAGCG
This 236-nucleotide ribosomal RNA is filed under the name uncultured bacterium. Its description in RNAcentral is "partial 16S ribosomal RNA". It matches the Rfam family "Bacterial small subunit ribosomal RNA", at positions 118 to 353 of the family's 1533-position model. The record is from RNAcentral.